This 432-nucleotide ribosomal RNA is filed under the name uncultured bacterium. RNAcentral describes it as "partial 16S ribosomal RNA". It matches the Rfam family "Bacterial small subunit ribosomal RNA", at positions 28 to 507 of the family's 1533-position model. The record is from RNAcentral.
GAUGAACGCUGGCGGUAUGCUUAACACAUGCAAGUCGAACGGUACCUUCGGGUAUAGUGGCGGACGGGUGAGUAACGCGUGAGAAUCUAUCUUCAGGUCGGGGACAACAGUUAGAAAUGACUGCUAAUACCGGAUGUGCCGAAAGGUAAAAGAUUUAUUGCCUGAAAAAGAGCUCGCGUCAGAUUAGCUAGUAGGUGGUGUAAGAGACUACCUAGGCUUCGAUCUGUAGCUGGUCUGGGAGGACGAUCAGCCACACUGGAACUGAGACACGGUCCAGACUCCUACGGGAGGCAGCAGUGGGGAAUUUUCCGCAAUGGGCGAAAGCCUGACGGAGCAAUACCGCGUGAGGGACGAAGGCUCUUGGGUCGUAAACCUCUUUUCUCAAGGAAGAUUCAGACGGUACUUGAGGAAUAAGCAUCGGCUAACUCUGUG